This 406-nucleotide ribosomal RNA is filed under the name uncultured bacterium. RNAcentral's name for it is "partial 16S ribosomal RNA". It matches the Rfam family "Bacterial small subunit ribosomal RNA", at positions 30 to 526 of the family's 1533-position model. The record is from RNAcentral.
AUUGAACGCUGGCGGCAGGCCUAACACAUGCAAGUCGAACGAGUGGCGGACGGGUGAGUAAUGUCUGGGAAACUGCCCGAUGGAGGGGGAUAACUCCAGGAACCGGUAGCUAAUACCGCAUACCAUCGGAUGUGCCCAGAUGGGAUUAGCUUGUAGGUGAGGGAACGGCUCACCUAGGCGACGAUCCCUCGCUGGUCUGAGGGGAUGACCAGCCACACUGGAACUGAGACACGGUCCAGACUCCUACGGUAGUCAGCAGUGGGGAAUAUUGCAUAAUGGGCGCAAGCCUGAUUCAGCCAUGCCGCGUGUAUGAAGAAGGCCUUCGGGUUGUAAAGUACUUUCAGCGUGGAGGCGUUACCCGCAGAAGAAGCACCGGCUAACUCCGUGCCAGCAGCCGCGGUAAUUC